ACGAACGCUGGCGGCGUGCUUAACACAUGCAAGUCGAACGGAAAGGCCCUGCUUUUGUGGGGUGCUCGAGUGGCGAAUGGGUGAGUAACACGUGAGUAACCUGCCCUUGACUUUGGGAUAACUUCAGGAAACUGGGGCUAAUACCGGAUAGGAGCUCCUGCUGCAUGGUGGGGGUUGGAAAGUUUCGGCGGUUGGGGAUGGACUCGCGGCUUAUCAGCUUGUUGGUGGGGUAGUGGCUUACCAAGGCUUUGACGGGUAGCCGGCCUGAGAGGGUGACCGGCCACAUUGGGACUGAGAUACGGCCCAGACUCCUACGGGAGGCAGCAGUGGGGAAUAUUGCACAAUGGGCGGAAGCCUGAUGCAGCAACGCCGCGUGCGGGAUGACGGCCUUCGGGUUGUAAACCGCUUUCGCCUGUGACGAAGCGUGAGUGACGGUAAUGGGUAAAGAAGCACCGGCUAACUACGUG
This 467-nucleotide ribosomal RNA is filed under the name uncultured bacterium. RNAcentral describes it as "partial 16S ribosomal RNA". It matches the Rfam family "Bacterial small subunit ribosomal RNA", at positions 29 to 507 of the family's 1533-position model. The record is from RNAcentral.